RNAcentral lists this microRNA precursor (75 nucleotides) under Sorex araneus (European shrew). RNAcentral's name for it is "microRNA 302b (ENSSARG00000016210.1)". It matches the Rfam family "mir-302 microRNA precursor family". Lineage: Eukaryota; Metazoa; Chordata; Mammalia; Eulipotyphla; Soricidae. The record is from RNAcentral.
UCCCUUUGACUUUAACAUGGGAGUGCUUUUCUGUGUGUUCUCAGAGAGUAAGUGCUUCCAUGUUUGAGUAGAAGU